UCCCUGGUGGUCCAGUGGCUAAGGCUCUGUGCUCCCAAUGCAGGAGGCCUGGGUUCAAUCCCUGGUCAUGGAA
This 73-nucleotide transfer RNA is filed under the name Bos taurus (domestic cattle). It matches the Rfam family "tRNA". Rfam says of the family: Transfer RNA (tRNA) molecules are approximately 80 nucleotides in length. Their secondary structure includes four short double-helical elements and three loops (D, anti-codon, and T loops). RNAcentral also lists the same sequence under 4 other names. Lineage: Eukaryota; Metazoa; Chordata; Mammalia; Artiodactyla; Bovidae. The record is from Rfam by way of RNAcentral.